CAUUGAGAAGCUAAUAGCGCUAGCCUUUUAAGUUAGAGAUUGAGAGCACGCCUCUCCUCAAUGA
This 64-nucleotide transfer RNA is filed under the name Manis javanica (Malayan pangolin). RNAcentral describes it as "tRNA-Lys". Lineage: Eukaryota; Metazoa; Chordata; Mammalia; Pholidota; Manidae. The record is from RNAcentral. RNAcentral also lists the same sequence under 1 other name.